Molecule: ribosomal RNA, 253 nt
Filed under: uncultured bacterium
Lineage: Bacteria
Description: partial 16S ribosomal RNA
Rfam family: Bacterial small subunit ribosomal RNA
Source: RNAcentral
GACGAACUGUGCAAACGUUAUUCGGAAUCACUGGGCUUGAAGAGUGCGUAGGCGGUUUCGUAAGUAGGGUGUGAAAGCCCCCAGCUCAACUGGGGAACUGCGUCCUAAACUGCGAGGCUGGAGUGAGGUAGGGGUGUGCGGAACUCCGGUGGAGCGGUGAAAUGUGUUGAGUAUCGGAAGGAACGCCGGUGGCGAAAGCGGCACACUGGACCUUGUCUGACGCUGAGGCACGAAAGCCAGGGGAGCAAACGGG